ACGGUUAUAAAUCAACAUAUUGAUUUAUAAGCAUGGAAAUCCCCUGAGUGAAACAACGAAUUGCUGUGUGUAGUCUUUGCCCAUCUCCCAC
Molecule: non-coding RNA, 91 nt
Filed under: Escherichia coli
Lineage: Bacteria; Pseudomonadati; Pseudomonadota; Gammaproteobacteria; Enterobacterales; Enterobacteriaceae
Description: partial antisense sRNA RprA
Rfam family: RprA RNA
About the family: Translational regulation of the stationary phase sigma factor RpoS is mediated by the formation of a double-stranded RNA stem-loop structure in the upstream region of the rpoS messenger RNA, occluding the translation initiation site.
Source: RNAcentral